This 894-nucleotide ribosomal RNA is filed under the name Bacillus subtilis. RNAcentral describes it as "bacterial SSU rRNA". It matches the Rfam family "Bacterial small subunit ribosomal RNA", at positions 35 to 911 of the family's 1533-position model. Lineage: Bacteria; Bacillati; Bacillota; Bacilli; Caryophanales; Bacillaceae. The record is from RNAcentral.
GCUGGCGGCGUGCCUAAUACAUGCAAGUCGAGCGGACAGAUGGGAGCUUGCUCCCUGAUGUUAGCGGCGGACGGGUGAGUAACACGUGGGUAACCUGCCUGUAAGACUGGGAUAACUCCGGGAAACCGGGGCUAAUACCGGAUGGUUGUUUGAACCGCAUGGUUCAGACAUAAAAGGUGGCUUCGGCUACCACUUACAGAUGGACCCGCGGCGCAUUAGCUAGUUGGUGAGGUAACGGCUCACCAAGGCGACGAUGCGUAGCCGACCUGAGAGGGUGAUCGGCCACACUGGGACUGAGACACGGCCCAGACUCCUACGGGAGGCAGCAGUAGGGAAUCUUCCGCAAUGGACGAAAGUCUGACGGAGCAACGCCGCGUGAGUGAUGAAGGUUUUCGGAUCGUAAAGCUCUGUUGUUAGGGAAGAACAAGUGCCGUUCAAAUAGGGCGGCACCUUGACGGUACCUAACCAGAAAGCCACGGCUAACUACGUGCCAGCAGCCGCGGUAAUACGUAGGUGGCAAGCGUUGUCCGGAAUUAUUGGGCGUAAAGGGCUCGCAGGCGGUUUCUUAAGUCUGAUGUGAAAGCCCCCGGCUCAACCGGGGAGGGUCAUUGGAAACUGGGGAACUUGAGUGCAGAAGAGGAGAGUGGAAUUCCACGUGUAGCGGUGAAAUGCGUAGAGAUGUGGAGGAACACCAGUGGCGAAGGCGACUCUCUGGUCUGUAACUGACGCUGAGGAGCGAAAGCGUGGGGAGCGAACAGGAUUAGAUACCCUGGUAGUCCACCCGUAAACGAUGAGUGCUAAGUGUUAGGGGGUUUCCGCCCCUUAGUGCUGCAGCUAACGCAUUAAGCACUCCGCCUGGGGAGUACGGUCGCAAGACUGAAACUCAAAGGAAUU